GGGGUUGUGGCUCAGUGGUAGAGUGCUCAUCCCGCACGUGAGAGACCCGGGUUCGAUCCUCGGCAACACAU
RNAcentral lists this transfer RNA (71 nucleotides) under Marmota monax (woodchuck). It matches the Rfam family "tRNA". Rfam says of the family: Transfer RNA (tRNA) molecules are approximately 80 nucleotides in length. Their secondary structure includes four short double-helical elements and three loops (D, anti-codon, and T loops). Further hydrogen bonds mediate the characteristic L-shaped molecular structure. tRNAs have two regions of fundamental functional importance: the anti-codon, which is responsible for specific mRNA codon recognition, and the 3' end, to which the tRNAs corresponding amino acid is attached (by aminoacyl-tRNA synthetases). tRNAs cope with the degeneracy of the genetic code in two manners: having more than one tRNA (with a specific anti-codon) for a particular amino acid; and 'wobble' base-pairing, i.e. permitting non-standard base-pairing at the 3rd anti-codon position. The record is from Rfam by way of RNAcentral. Lineage: Eukaryota; Metazoa; Chordata; Mammalia; Rodentia; Sciuridae.